GGACGAACGCUGGCGGCGUGCCUAAUACAUGCAAGUCGAACGAGAGCAACCGGUGCUUGCACUGGUCAAUCUAGUGGCGACCGGGUGAGUAACACGUGGGUAACCUGCCCAUCAGAGGGGGAUAACAUCCGGAAACGGAUGCUAAAACCGCAUAGGUCUUCGAACCGCAUGGUUUGAAGAGGAAAAGAGGCGCAAGCUUCUGCUGAUGGAUGGACCCGCGGUGCAUUAGCUAGUUGGUGAGGUAACGGCUCACCAAGGCCGUGAUGCAUAGCCGACCUGAGAGGGUGAUCGGCCACAUUGGGACUGAGACACGGCCCAAACUCCUACGGGAGGCAGCAGUAGGGAAUCUUCCGCAAUGGACGCAAGUCUGACGGAGCAACGCCGCGUGAGUGAAGAAGGUUUUCGGAUCGUAAAACUCUGUUGUUAGAGAAGAACAAGUGCUAGAGUAACUGUUAGCGCCUUGACGGUAUCUAACCAGAAAGCCACGGCUAACUACGUG
RNAcentral lists this ribosomal RNA (499 nucleotides) under uncultured bacterium. RNAcentral's name for it is "partial 16S ribosomal RNA". It matches the Rfam family "Bacterial small subunit ribosomal RNA", at positions 27 to 507 of the family's 1533-position model. The record is from RNAcentral.